RNAcentral lists this ribosomal RNA (440 nucleotides) under uncultured bacterium. RNAcentral describes it as "partial 16S ribosomal RNA". It matches the Rfam family "Bacterial small subunit ribosomal RNA", at positions 338 to 795 of the family's 1533-position model. The record is from RNAcentral.
CCUACGGGCGGCAGCAGUGGGGAAUAUUGCACAAUGGGCGAAAGCCUGAUGCAGCAACGCCGCGUGAGCGAUGAAGGCCUUCGGGUCGUAAAGCUCUGUCCUCAAGGAAGCUAAUGACGGUACUUGAGGAGGAAGCCCCGGCUAACUACGUGCUAGCAGCCGCGGUAAUACGGAGGGUGAGAGCGUUAAUCGGAAUUACUGGGCGUAGAGAGCUCGUAGGCGGUAUGAGAAGUCGAGUGUGAAAUCCCCGCGCUCAACGUGGGAACUGCCUUUGAAACUGGCAAACUAGAGUGUGUGAGAGGAUAGUGGAAUUCCAGGUGUAGGAGUGAAAUCCGUAGAUAUCUGGAGGAACAUCAGUGGCGAAGGCGACUAUCUGGCACAAAACUGACGCUGAGGAGCGAAAGCGUGGGUAGCAAACAGGAUUAGAUACCCUUGUAGUC